This 261-nucleotide ribosomal RNA is filed under the name Clostridioides difficile. RNAcentral's name for it is "partial 23S ribosomal RNA". It matches the Rfam family "Bacterial large subunit ribosomal RNA", at positions 361 to 625 of the family's 2925-position model. The record is from RNAcentral. Lineage: Bacteria; Bacillati; Bacillota; Clostridia; Peptostreptococcales; Peptostreptococcaceae.
AAGGUAAUAGUCCUGUAUGUUAAACGAGAAGACUUCAGAUAUGAUCCAGAGUACCACGGGACACGUGAAACCCUGUGGGAAGCAGGAGGGACCCCCCUCCAAGGCUAAAUACUACCUAGUGACCGAUAGCGUAUAGUACCGUGAGGGAAAGGUGAAAAGACCCCCGGGAGGGGAGUGAAAUAGAACCUGAAACCCUGCACUUACAAGCUGUGGAAGCACAUUUCUUGUGUGACCGCGUACUUUUUGUAGAACGGGCCAACG